CCUACGGAGGCUGCAGUGGGGAAUAUUGGACAAUGGGCGAAAGCCUGAUCCAGCCAUGCCGCGUGUGUGAAGAAGGCCUUCGGGUUGUAAAGCACUUUCAGUGGGGAAGAAAGCCUUGGGGCUAAUACCCUCGAGGAAGGACAUCACCCACAGAAGAAGCACCGGCUAACUCCGUGCCAGCAGCCGCGGUAAUACGGAGGGUGCGAGCGUUAAUCGGAAUUACUGGGCGUAAAGCGCGCGUAGGCGGUCUGAUAAGCCGGUUGUGAAAGCCCCGGGCUCAACCUGGGAACGGCAUCCGGAACUGUCAGGCUAGAGUGCAGGAGAGGAAGGUAGAAUUCCCGGUGUAGCGGUGAAAUGCGUAGAGAUCGGGAGGAAUACCAGUGGCGAAGGCGGCCUUCUGGACUGACACUGACGCUGAGGUGCGAAAGCGUGGGUAGCAAACAGGAUUAGAUACCCCAGAAGUC
Molecule: ribosomal RNA, 464 nt
Filed under: Vreelandella stevensii
Lineage: Bacteria; Pseudomonadati; Pseudomonadota; Gammaproteobacteria; Oceanospirillales; Halomonadaceae
Description: partial 16S ribosomal RNA
Rfam family: Bacterial small subunit ribosomal RNA
Source: RNAcentral